UGUCCUAAAAGUCCCUAACAAUUUUACCAGUUCCUUCCUGCAGCCCCUAUUAAUGAGUGUCAUAGCUUAGCAACAAUCAUCAUUUCACAUUAAAUGUACAGUUAAGCUAAUGUGGUGGAAUGAUCUCCAUGUCAGAAUCUCUUAAUUUCUUUUUCUUUCCUUCACACAACUACAGACCAGAACCAAAUGCUCAAAGAUCCUUCUUACAUAACUAAAGGGAGGAAGUAAGAAGCAUUGGCUCUACUACACGGAAUGCAGAGGAAGUUCUUCUUUGAUUAAAGUCUUCUGAAGUUAGUGCUCUGCCCUACUAAUAUUUUAACUUCAAUCAAUUCCCCUCAAAAGCAAUACUUAUCCACUGUACCUAUCAAAAAAACUGUGAUGGAUAUGAUGAAGAUUUUUUAUUAAAUGUUUGAACGAUGUUUGCCGUCUCCAUCUCCUCAAUGUAUGACUUAAGGUACAUGGACUGUCUUGUUUCUGCUUUGGGGAAUUGUCAUCCUGCUUUCCAGUUUUGAUCAUCUUCAAACAUUUCAUCCUUUGUACUUUCAAUGUCAUGAAAUACCUCUGAGAGUUCUUUUAAAGUGAAGAUGUCUCUUCCUCUAGGACAGCGUUAUUCCUUUUGUCACAACCUCUUUAUGUUAGAAAGUUCACCUUCAGGAAGGUCCUCUGUCUGCAUGUCUAUAAUCACUCAGAUGGAACCAGUGCCAAUCACCUACAGUCUACUAUGUCCUCAAGAGUUCCACAGGUGUUCAUUCAAUCUGCUGCCAUUGUUGCAUUUUCAUCUGUGUUGGCCAGUUGAUUUUUCCCUUGUGUAAAAUGCAGAAUGGGUCUGUCAAUGGGAGACCCAUUUCCCUGCAAAAAAUGUCCUCCACUCCAACCACUAAUCUAAAAGGAAACACAAUUACAUUUUGCUGUGUAUGUGAACUGAAAGCAGAUGGGCUAACAAAUUUUGGAAGAAGUCACAUAAUUGGUCAGUGAUCACAAUGCAUGUCUUAUAUUUGCAUAAUGAGUGUGUAAUAAAAAGCUAAUAAGGAGUUUGUACUGUGUAAUAAUAAUUCAUGUGUUACAACUGAAAUUUGAAGCAUGUUGUUGGAAGACUGUCUUAACUAUAGUCAAUGAAAUUCAUACAUGUAAGAACUAUGUAAAUCAAGCACUGACUUAAUAUAAACAGAAAUUAUGUAUUUAUUCAUUCAUAAGGAUUGAUUUUUUUGGAAACAAAUGGCUCAAUGGCUCCUCUUUCUACAUUUAGUUAAAAAAAUAAGAUAUAAUGUUAGGCGCCAUCCUGACUUGUUUACAGACCUUAACAAUAUAAAACUAGAAAAAUACUAGAAUCUGAUGAAAGAUCAUUCCCAUAUACAUCUUUGUAUAUUACUUUAUCAAACCAUUUAUAUAGUAUUUACUGGGCCAUGAAUUUUUCUAAGAGCUUAAAAACAUCAUCUAAUUAAAUCAUCUUGACAAUGAGGUAGCUACUAUUAUUUUUCCCUCUUAAAGAUAAAGAACUAAGAAUAGAGAAGAUAAGUGACUUGCAUACACAGCUUGUAAGUGGAAGAGCAAGAUUCAAAACCAGGAAGCCUAGCUUUGGAUAACGUGCUUUCAACCACUGCACAAUGCUGUCUUGUGUUGCUAAUUGGCCUGUGUUGCUAAUUCUGCAAAGUAACACAUUGCCAGGUUAUUGAUCCUGCUGGUAGAGUGAAGUCUAUCUCAUUUAUUAUUGUCGUUUAUGACCAUAGAUUUAAAAUUCAAUACAUAAAGCUGGGAGUAUCUACCACAAAGAUUACUAAGGCUCCACAGAGCUUAAGAGAAAAGUUAUUUCUUUAUUUCAGAGAAGUCAUAAAGCAAAGGGAAUUUUUUGAAGGAAAGGGACUGCAGUUACUAACAUCCCUUAGAUUUUCAAGCAAAUGGUUCAGAAGGUUAGAAGGCUGGGGCUCUGAGCAUGAAGCUCUUCGUGAAUGUGGGGACAUAGAAAGCAGAAAUUAUAAAAUCAGCCAAAUAUUUACCCCACUUCCACCCAUCUUACAAAGGUCUCUUUAAAGAAAUAUUCAAUUAAAUUCUAUGGAAAUUUAAAUGGCAUAAACUUGAGUUUUCCCUGCAAAAGCUGUCCAUCCCUCCAACCACUAAUCUAAAAAUUACAAAAAUAAAUUUAUUGACCCUGACAAAUAUAUUAGGAAGAACUAUACCCAUUAAGAAAAAACUGAUAGAACACUAAUACUUCAAAAAUAACCAUUUCUCUUUUUUAAUAAAAGUCUGUUUGUAGAAUAUUAGUAAUCAAAUAAUUUGAUUUGAAUCAUUGGAGUUCCAGUUAAAGAUUAUACUCGUUGUUUAUUUUAAAAUCUUCUUGUGUUUCAUUGCCAUUUCCUGAAUGUCUUCUUGAUGCCUAGCAACUGCCAAACCUUUCAUUUUCAGUGCUAUUCCUUUUUUCUUUGUUAAGCAAAUAGAAGAAAAAUGUCAAAAAGGUCUACAGGUUGUUACUACAAAUAAAUUAUUUCAUAAAAAAAAUAUGGUGACCUAGAAUAUGCCAUUCAUGAAGGUAAGGUCUCAGAGAAGAGCACAGGAACUAAAGUGAAAAGAUAGAUUUGCAUCCCAGGCAGGUGAAUCAACUCAUGUGGGUACCAGCUUCCACUAAGAAGCAAUAGUUGAGCUAAUAAUCUCUACAUUCAUUUUUGUUGAAAAUUUGAAUAAUACUAAAAAAAUGAAAGUAAUCUUUUACAAUGAUCCCUAACACUUGUGCUCCAUUUGACCGGUUGGUCUUCAAUGUUGGUUCUCCUUUUUUAUCUUCCUGACAUUACGCAAAACCAUUUGGAAACCAAGAUUUGUGUAUGUCCUAAGGAUGUUCUUUAUCAACUAUUGGAACUGGACUCAGAAAGUAGAAGAAAAGAUUCCAAGACAAGUAGACCUGCUCCUGUGCACCUCUCUGUGACCUUAUCUUCACAUAUGGCAUAGUCUAGGUCAUUCAUUUUGUUUUUGAAGUAAUUUAUUUUUAGGCCACCAAAAAACAAAACAAAACCCUGCAGUCCCCAUUAGAUCAUGGCCCUCAAUGCUUUCAUGUUUCCAUUGGCUUCCUACCUGUCUCAGAACAAAAUACAAAAAUUUUAAUCCUAGAAAAUCCAAAAUCCAAAAAUUUUUAACCUACAAAGCCCCAAGCCAUCUCUCUUCCACAAUCUUCUCUCCAUUCAUGCUGCUCUCCAUGCUCACUGGCCUCCUUCAGGUUUUCACCUUUAUCAGUUAAGCUCACAUCCAUCUCACUGCUGAAGCCUAGGACAUUCCUCAGGAUGUCCCCUUCUUAUCCUCCUAGCAUCACUAAAAGGACACCUCUUCCUCUUCAUAGAAGCCUUCCCUAGCCAGCUGACCUAAGGAAAUUUUCCUUGGUUAAUCUCUAUUACUUAGCUUGAUUUAAUUUUUCUCUUUUCAUUCAUUCACUUGCAUACUCUCUCCUUUAUGCCAUACAAGAGGGUAAGCCAUGUGAAGUCAGGAAUCUUCUCUUAUUCACACAUAUGUUCAAGUAAUAGUACCUGAAAAUGGCAGGCACUAAAUGAAUAACCAUAUACUACUCACCAAUAUGUCACCAUGUGCUUGGUAUGUAGUACAUUUAGUAAAUAGUUGGGAGUUUUUUCGUUUUUAUUUUUGUGGUGCUGGUGAUAGAAUCCAUGGCCUCACAUGUGUGAAGCAAGUGCUCCACCACUGAGCUGGAUCCCCAGUCCAGUUUCUUAAUGGAAAUAAAUAAGUAAAGUUACUCACCAUAACAUUAGUAUUGGUAUGAAUUAUUUAUUAUUGUGUAUAUUGAUUUACAAUUGCUCCUGUAACAAUUUUGGUGGCAUAAAGCAACACAAAUUUCUUUCUUUACAUUUCUGGAGGUCAGAAGGUUACAGAAGUCUUACUGAGCUAAAAUCAAGGUAUCAGCAAAACUUCAAUCUGUCUGGAGGCCCAGGGAGGAAAUCCUUGCAUUGACUUUUCCAGCUUCUAGAGAUUGCCCACAGUCUUAGGAUUGUGUCUCCUUCCAUCUUCAAAGCCAGCAAUGGCCACUUGAAUCUUUCUCCUGCUGCACUAUUCUAACACAAACUCUUCUACCUCCCUCUUGUACUUGUAAGUAUGCUUAUAAUUACAUUGGGCUCACAUAGAUAAUUUCUUCAUCUUGGUAUAAUUUCUCAGGAUAAUUUCAUUAUCUUGGGAUAAUUUUAAUUUAGCGACAUCUGCAAAAUGCUGUUUAUAAUGUAAAAACAUGUUCAUGGGUUUGAAGGAUUAGGAUGUAGACUGGGGAGUCUUAACACAUCAUCACUUGGUAUGAUUCUGGGAACAAACUGCCCUUAUUUUGGAUAUUCCCAUGGAAACCCCGUCUAUUAUCUUCCAAACAUGUGCUACAUGAUCAUAUUCUGGAGAAAAAUUCCUUAUAAGUAAUCUUAUGUCUUAUUUUCUCAUCUCAGGUAUAAUAUAGGAAUAAUGCUAUUUUGUAUAAAUUGAGCAAUGAGUUUAGACUACUACCCUCCUCUGGAUACAAAGAGGCUGAAAAUAAACAGACAUUGACAUCUCUGAACAGACUAAGAAUUCAUUUCUGUUGCUGGUAGAAGAUAAUUACAAUAAGAGAAAAUACAUUCCAUUCCCAUCACCAAAAUUAGAACUGCAGUAGCACUGUAUCUUGUAAAAAGAUAAAAUUCAAUGGGAGACAAGCAAAUUGCAUCAUUAUUAGAAGGAUCUAUCUUAAGAUUAGGGGGAUAAGCAGAGAGAGGCAGGAUUAUGGACUCCAAAACCUACAUUUAGCUGAGGCAAUUCUCUUCAUUUUCCUGGGAAAAAUCAGUCUAUACAAUUAAGCAAACCCAAGGGACCAACAUAUUAACUUGCCAUCAAUAUAUUCUAUCUGCCUUGGCACAGCUAGUGUUUCUGGCAUUAUUUAUGAAGGCACUCUUUCUAUAUUUGCACAGUAUGCAGCAUUGUUCAUAGCAGGUUGCAGAUUAUUGUCAAUGAAUAAUGCUGUGGAAGCUCCUAACCCUUUGUGCUUUUGUCUAACAAGUAAAUCAGCAAUAGCUGCUUCUCUGUGUUCUUCUUGAGAUUAUAGCACAGCCAUAAAUAAGCUAUCAGUGGCAGGAUCCAUUUGGCAUCAGUGACUAUAACUGCAAGACCUACAGGUUCAUAUUGUUCCCUUGUAUACAAUAAAGAAAGCUCAUCACUAAGAAUUUUUUAAGGUGAGAAACCUAAAAUAUGGACACCAGAAUUUUCUAAAAUUUCACUUUGUUUGAAGUGAAUCAUCCAAUGUUUAUAUUAGGUCUUUUAAAAGAAUUUAUCUAUAAGAAGCUUAAAAAAGAAUAGCAGAGAAAUAGAAAUUCCUACACAGUUGCUUUUCUCUAAACUAUUAUAGAUUUCAUAAAAGUAAUCUUCUACCACAGAGGAAGGGGAGAUUUUUAUCUUGACAGAUUCCAUAGCUUGUCAUAGAGCUUCAAAAGAGGCCAGUGGAUCUCAAACCUGUGUUCACAGCCCAGUUUGGUAAAGACAAAUCUCCCAGAGGAUCACCAUUCAUAACUUUCUAAAGGCCACGUAGAAACACUUCACUAAAAUUCAUGGGAACACACACAAUCCUUUUGCUAAAGCACCACAAGGUCACUGUCCAUGCAUAAUAGCCAGUUUAAAUGUGUCUAUUGAAUAUUUUUCAAAUAUAUUCAAGAAUUAGGUACCUUUUUUUCUGUGAGAUCACUAAAGGCAUCACUCAAUACAUGACUCAUAGCUUAGACAAUAUGAACAAAGCACCAUAAACACUAGAGAGAGAGAGAGCAAGAGUCCCGGACAGAGUUGAUCCAUUUGAUGUCUGCUUUGAUAAGGGACUUUGCCAUUAAAUGGCACAAGAGAGUCCCUUCCACUUUUGGACUUUACCUAGCCUCAUCAUCUUACCCAGGUAUACCGUUUUAUCCCUGGGAUCUUUAAGUUACUAUUCCUGUGAAAUCCCUGCUUCCAAAUAAGGUUGCAUUGUGAGGUUCCAGGUAGGCUAAUGUGGGAAGACUUUGUAUUUGCAUAGCCCCUAAAUCUCUCAUCUUUUUGGAUCUGCCUGGUGCCCUGGCCUUUACAAGUAAUGUAUGUAGCCUCAAGACUGGAUGCAUGCAGAGCACAGCAGAGCAAAGCAGAGCCUCCCCAUCCUGCUGGAUAUUUUUCCCCCACAUGCAGCACCAGCUCCAUGUCAGCCAGGCUUUCUCCCAGCAGAACUCCCAGGCAGAUUAAGUACCUAUGUUCUAAGGAGAUGACUCUCAGUCCUAAGGUUCCCUUCUCCUCCCUAGAGAACUCUACAAUCUUAUGCUCAGCAUUUGAACAACCUGGGGAACUCAAUUUUUUUGUUUUUGUUUAAAGUACACAUUUUUUUUUCUGACUAUAAGAUAAUGCAUUUCACUACAAGGUGAAUUUUUUAAAGGAUACAUCAGAAUAUUAAAAAGAUAAAAAUCAUCGAUCCUACCACAUAGAGAAUAACCACAACUUAGAUGCAAUCCCCAACCAUCUUUCUCAAUGAAAUAUAAAGUCCAAAAAUAACUGAGGCAUGAUUGCACAUACUGCACAUACUGCACAUAUAAAGUCCAAAAAUAACUGAGGCAUGAUUGCACAUACCCCUUGGAUCUCUGGGUUACAGACUGAAAGAGCUCAUAAACACAACUAUGACAACCAUGAAAACAGCCAAGAAUAAGAAUAUCUUUUAAGCUUCUUAUUUUCACAUUAUCUAUCCUAAUCAUUUCUUCAUGUUACUAAUCUCUAAAACAUAUUUUUAAUGAUUUUAUUUCAUGUUAUUUAUGCAUUAUAAUUUAAACAUCUCUGCAUUAUGGAUAUAUAGACCAAGUCCAAUU
Ictidomys tridecemlineatus (thirteen-lined ground squirrel) is the source of this 6806-nucleotide non-coding RNA. Lineage: Eukaryota; Metazoa; Chordata; Mammalia; Rodentia; Sciuridae. The record is from RefSeq and is a predicted model, not a curated record.